AGCUUUGCGCAGUGGCAGUAUCAUAGCCAAUGAGGUUUAUCCGAGGUGCGAUUAUUGCUAAUUAAAUAAAUAAAAUCAUAAAUAAAUAAAUAGGACUCUUUAUAAAUAAG
This 110-nucleotide small nuclear RNA is filed under the name Mustela putorius furo (domestic ferret). RNAcentral's name for it is "U4 spliceosomal RNA". It matches the Rfam family "U4 spliceosomal RNA". From Rfam's summary of the family: U4 small nuclear RNA (U4 snRNA) is a component of the major U2-dependent spliceosome. The structure of U4 snRNA from yeast and human has been reported. U4 snRNA presents a k-turn RNA motif in the 5p-SL related to recognition of Snu13 protein. The record is from Rfam by way of RNAcentral. Lineage: Eukaryota; Metazoa; Chordata; Mammalia; Carnivora; Mustelidae.